This 527-nucleotide ribosomal RNA is filed under the name uncultured bacterium. RNAcentral describes it as "bacterial SSU rRNA". It matches the Rfam family "Bacterial small subunit ribosomal RNA", at positions 981 to 1509 of the family's 1533-position model. The record is from RNAcentral.
UUGACAUCCAGAGAACUUAGCAGAGAUGCUUUGUGCCUUCGGGAACUCUGAGACAGGUGCUGCAUGGCUGUCGUCAGCUCGUGUUGUGAAAUGGUUGGGUUAAGUCCGCAACGAGCGCAACCCUUAUCCUUUGUUGCCAGCGGUUCGGCCGGGAACUCAAAGGAGACUGCCGGUGAUAAACCGGAGGAAGGUGGGGAUGACGUCAAGUCAUCAUGGCCCUUACGGCCAGGGCUACACACGUGCUACAAUGGCGCAUACAAAGAGAAGCGACCUCGCGAGAGCAAGCGGACCUCAUAAAGUGCGUCGUAGUCCGGAUUGGAGUCUGCAACUCGACUCCAUGAAGUCGGAAUCGCUAGUAAUCGUAGAUCAGAAUGCUACGGUGAAUACGUUCCCGGGCCUUGUACACACCGCCCGUCACACCAUGGGAGUGGGUUGCAAAAGAAGUAGGUAGCUUAACCUUCGGGAGGGCGCUUACCACUUUGUGAUUCAUGACUGGGGUGAAGUCGUAACAAGGUAAGCGUACGUGU